UUUUUCCUGUAGGUGUCAGUGUCGAGAACGUGGUGAGGUCAGCUGUGUUUGCUGCCCUGAACAGGCAUGCCUCGCCGACCUGACUGGGCAGCGAUAAUAUUAUUUGGUUAAUCGAGACCAGUGCAGUAUCACCUCCAAUCCAGCGGCAGCGAAAAGGAUUUGAUCCCACCAAGUCAGUGUCAGUGAUGGCGAAGGAGACUUUGAACCUCUAAAACAAUUCCUGAUGAAACAAAAUCACGUGAGAAAUAGAGAAAAGAAUCUAUGAAAAACACAGUGAUGAUUUUAUAUUCUUACGAACUCUUUUUUUUUUUUUUUUUUUUUUUGCUUUUUUUUCAAAUAAAGAAGUAACACACGUGAUGGAAAACUGUUUAUUAUGAAAAAAACAAUACCUUUGCCCGAGAAAGUCUCAAAGUGACGGCCAAGUGGAAAAUGUGCUCCAUAGCGGCUGAGAAACUUUUCUUCAUUUUAGCACAGGAAAAUGGACGCUUAAAUACUUUACUACGUCACUAUGACUUUCCCAACGUGUUUUUUUUUUUUUGGUGACGCAGAGACAGGGUCUGGAUACGUGGAAUAAAUGACAAUUGAUACUUUUUCUCUCUCCAACUCUUUUUUUUUUGUCUAUCAACCCGCCAUUUGUAUCUUAUCUCUAAAGCAGUCAGCCAAUCUAUAUAUCUGAUCUAACUAUUAAUCACUCUUUCCGUCUCUCUGACUACACCUAUUCAUCUAAAUCUUUAUCGGUCUAUUUAUCUCUCUAUCAAUUUCGCUAUUUUUCUAUCUAUCUCUGGCUAAACUUAUUUAUCUAUCUCCUUACCUAGAUAUUUAUAUUUCUAUCCAUCUCUUUAACAGUAUAUUUAUUUUUCUAUCUAUCUCUUUGCCUACAUAUUUAUUUUCCUAUCUCAGGCCAAAUCUAUUUAUCUAUUUCUUUAUCGAACUGUUAAUUGUCUGUCUUUCUCUGACUAAAUCUAUUGAUCUACCACUCCAUCGAUCUAUUUAUCCGUUUAUCUAUCAAUCUAUUUUUUCAUGUAUAUCUUUAGGUAAACCUAUUCAUCUAUCUCUUUUCCCUUUAUAUUCAUUAUUCUAUCCAUCUCUUGUCUAUCUCUUGACUAUGCCUAUUUAUUUAUCUCUUUGCCAAUCUAUUACCUCUCUCUACCUCUCUCUGACUAAAUAUAUUUAUCUACCACGUAAUCUAUCUAUCUAUCUAUCCGCUUAUCUCCCUCCCACCCCCACCCCUUUCCAAGACUUCAGCUAUUCUGCAAACUUUCAACAGUAUACGGG
Long non-coding RNA from Penaeus monodon (black tiger shrimp), 1275 nucleotides. RefSeq lists it as uncharacterized. Lineage: Eukaryota; Metazoa; Arthropoda; Malacostraca; Decapoda; Penaeidae. The record is from RefSeq and is a predicted model, not a curated record. The transcript is spliced from 2 exons.